This 472-nucleotide ribosomal RNA is filed under the name uncultured bacterium. RNAcentral describes it as "partial 16S ribosomal RNA". It matches the Rfam family "Bacterial small subunit ribosomal RNA", at positions 28 to 523 of the family's 1533-position model. The record is from RNAcentral.
GACGAACGCUGGCGGCGUGCUUAACACAUGCAAGUCGAGCGAGAAACCUUCGGGUUUCUAGCGGCGGACGGGUGAGUAACACGUGGGUAACCUGCCUCAAAGAGGAGGAUAGCCUUCCGAAAGGAAGAUUAAUACCGCAUAAUAUUUUAGCUUCGCAUGAAGUUGAAAUUAAAGGAGUAAUCCGCUUUGAGAUGGACCCGCGGCGCAUUAGCUAGUUGGAGAGGUAACGGCUCACCAAGGCGACGAUGCGUAGCCGACCUGGGAGGGUGAUCGGCCACAUUGGAACUGAGACACGGUCCAGACUCCUACGGGAGGCAGCAGUGGGGAAUAUUGCACAAUGGGCGAAAGCCUGAUGCAGCAACGCCGCGUGAGUGAUGAAGGUCUACGGAUUGUAAAGCUCUGUCUUUUGGGACGAUAAUGACGGUACCAAAGGAGGAAGCCACGGCUAACUACGUGCCAGCAGCCGCCGUAA